UCUUUUUAAGUACUAAUGAUAUUCCUCCUAUGACAACGUCACAUUAUUUAUCCAUUCGCUUUUUGGUGAAUAUUUUAGUUCUUUUGAAUUUUUUACUAUCACAGUGUUCUGGUGAUUAUCUUUGUGUCUCUCUGGGUAUAUUGUGCCACUUUCUCCAGGCUGUAUCCUUAGGAAGGAACUGCUAUCUCAUAGGAUGUAUUCAUCUGCCUAGUCAAUUAUUGCCAAAUUGCUUUUCAACAGGGCUAAAAGUAUUCACAUCCCAUCAGCAAUAUGUAAGCAUUGUUUAUAUCCUCACCAACCCUUAACAAUGUCAGAUUUUAUUUUUUGCCAACCAGUUAGUAUAACAUGGCAUGAUGAUAUAUGGUAUAACGAUAAGGAAUUAUUGUUUCAAUUUGUGUUUCUCCGGUUACUUAUGAGGUUGAGGUCCUUUUAGGAUUCCUUGCAAUUCUCUGUCCCCCAGAAGAAAAUGUUCCUGUCCUUUGCUUAUUUUUCUCCUUAGUCAUAAGUCUUAGUCUUUUUCUUAUUGAAAGUAGGACCUUUUGAUAUACAUUGAACAAAUAAGUCCGAAUUUGUCAUCUGUUUCAAAUGUCUUUUCUCAGUGUUUGUGGCCUGUCAUUAUAAUUUGUUGUAUCUUCUGGGCAAAAAAAUUUAUAUUUUAGUAUGAUUAUAUUUGAC
RNAcentral lists this long non-coding RNA (675 nucleotides) under Marmota monax (woodchuck). The record is from RNAcentral. Lineage: Eukaryota; Metazoa; Chordata; Mammalia; Rodentia; Sciuridae.